CAGCCGCCGCGGUAAUACAGAGGUCCCAACCGUUGUUCGGAUUCAUUGGGCGUAAAGGGUGCGUAGGCGGCGGGGUAAGUCAGGUGUGAAAUCUCGGGGCUCAACCCCGAAACUGCACUUGAUACUGCCUUGCUAGAGUACUGGAGAGGAGACUGGAAUUUACGGUGUAGCAGUGAAAUGCGUAGAUAUCGUAAGGAAGACCAGUGGCGAAGGCGAGUCUCUGGACAGUUACUGACGCUGAGGCACGAAGGCCAGGGGAGCAAACGGGAUUAGAUACCCCGGUAGUCCUGGCAGUAAACGGUGCACGUUUGGUGUGGGAGGAUUCGACCCCUUCCGUGCCGGAGCUAACGCGUUAAACGUGCCGCCUGGGAAGUACGGUCGCAAGAUUAAAACUCAAAGGAAUUGACGG
RNAcentral lists this ribosomal RNA (409 nucleotides) under uncultured bacterium. RNAcentral's name for it is "bacterial SSU rRNA". It matches the Rfam family "Bacterial small subunit ribosomal RNA", at positions 509 to 916 of the family's 1533-position model. The record is from RNAcentral.